RNAcentral lists this long non-coding RNA (308 nucleotides) under Homo sapiens (human). RNAcentral's name for it is "non-protein coding lnc-B4GALNT2-3:1". Lineage: Eukaryota; Metazoa; Chordata; Mammalia; Primates; Hominidae. The record is from RNAcentral.
CUGCAAGUUUUGAAGCAGCAUCUCAGACAUGUUGAAAAAGAUGUUUGGAUCCCUAAAAUAAUGAGAGAAAAGGCCAGAGAGAGGUGUUCUGAACAACUUCAAGAUUUUACCAAAUGUUGCAAGAACUCUGGAACCCUUACGGUAGGAAAAUGCUGGAAAGAAAAUUCUCUAUUGAAAGGACGUCUAACUGCUCACUAUAAUGAUCCAGCCUUUUAUGAAGAAUGCAAAAUGGAAUACCUGAAGGAAGGAAGAAUUCAGAAAAACUGGAAUUUCUACAAAGAGAAGGCUACAGAAACUUCCCAUAAGCC